This is a long non-coding RNA of Rhinopithecus bieti (black snub-nosed monkey), 5520 nucleotides long. The record is from Ensembl. NCBI's taxonomy places the organism in Eukaryota, Metazoa, Chordata, Mammalia, Primates, Cercopithecidae.
AAAAAAAAAAAAGUAUAUGUUCCUCAUCAUUGUCUUCAGUGCUUUUCCAAGUAUUUUAAAAUAUCAGAGUACAUAUUUCAUAUUUCAUUAUCACUCAGCAGCAUGAGAAUAAUAGCCUUCAUAUAGCAUACAUAGCUAAAACUCAAACAUUCAUUUCUGUCCUUAAUUUCAACAUUUAACUCCCAUCUGUUCUUCUCCCUUUUUUCUUUCAUUUCCCUGUUUCUGUUUUUCCUCAUGCUCUGACAUUAAAGUGGUUGCGCUGAAAAGACUGCCCUUUUUGAGGAACAGACCGAAGGAUAAAGACAAAAUGAAGGCCUGCUACCGUCGUUCCAUGUCCAUGAAUGACCUGGUGCAGUCCAUGGUCCUAGCAGGACAGUGGACAGGUAGUACUGAGAAUUUGGAGGUUCCUGAUGAUAUUUCAAUGGGUAAAAGGAGAAAAGAAUUGGGAGCUAUGGCCUUCUCUACUACAGCCAUCAACUUUUCAACUGUCAACUCUUCUGCAGGCUUCAGAUCCAAGCAGUUGGUUAAUAAUAAAGAUACUACGUCCUUUGAAGACAUAAGUCCACAAGGUGUUAGUGAUGAUUCUAGUACGGGAUCAAGAGUUCAUGCUUCAAGACCAGCCAGCCUUGAUAGUGGCAGAACAUCCACUAGCAAUAGCAAUAAUAAUGCUUCACUACAUGAAGUCAAAGCAGGUGAGCAGUUAAUAACCAAAGCAGGCCAGCAAAGCCACAGCAGUGGAGAAUUUAGCCUGCUUCAUGACCAUGAGGCUUGGUCCAGCAGUGGUAGCAGUCCAAUCCAGUACUUGAAAAGACAGACCAGAUCAAGUCCAGUGCUCCAACACAAAAUAUCUGAAACACUGGAGAGUCGACAUCACAAAAUCAAAACUGGUUCCCCUGGAAGUGAAGUUGUUACUCUACAACAGUUUUUGGAAGAAAGCAAUAAGCUUACCUCAAUACAGAUAAAGUCCUCAAGUCAAGAAAAUCUUUUAGAUGAAGUAAUGAAAAGUCUGUCUGUUUCUUCUGACUUUUUGGGAAAAGACAAACCAGUUAGCUGUGGUCUGGCCAGGUCAGUAAGUGGAAAAACCCCAGGGGACUUCUAUGAUAGAUGGACAACUAAGCCUGAGUUUUUGAGACCUGGUCCUCGAAAAACUGAAGAUACCUACUUCAUUAGUUCUGCAGGAAAACCUACACCAGGCACUCAAGGAAAGAUAAAAUUAGUAAAAGAAUCUUCUCUGUCACGACAAUCAAAAGAUAGUAACCCUUAUGCCACUUUACCUCGUGCAAGCAGCGUGAUCUCAACUGCUGAAGGAACUACAAGAAGGACAAGCAUCCAUGAUUUUUUGACCAAGGACAGUAGACUGCCUAUAUCAGUUGAUUCAUCACCAGCUGCUGCUGACAGCAACACCACUGCAGCAUCUAAUGUGGACAAAGUACAAGAAAGCAGAAAUUCAAAAAGCAGGUCUAGGGAGCAACAAAGCUCCUAAUUCUGUUACCCACUACAUGACAUGUGGGCCAAGUGAGAGAAAAGUGUCCUUCAGUUUCUCAGUAUGAAGCCUUUAUUUCUGAAGUAACAAGACACCUAGCAACUAUAGGAAUCAUGUUUUACAAUCUUUAAGGAGACUUUUAACAGUCCUUCGUGAAUAGAGCAGGCAAGAAAUACACACCUUCAUGCCUUGAAUCAAGGAGCACUACUGGAUUCAACUGCCAAAAUUCUUUAAAGGUUUUAGGACUUACUAUACCUUGUACUGUUAAGAUCUACUGAAAAAAGGACGUUCUCUCGCUAAGGACCAAGUGUUUUAAGGUGAAGUGUUUAAAGAAGUACUCCAAGAACAAUCUGCUUUUUUCAUCAUUUGUUUUAUGAAUUUAUCCAUGUUUGCUUAAUGCUUCUGCUAAGUGUUAGCCAAAAUCUAGCCAUUUAUAUUUAGUUGUGUAAACCUAAAUUAAAUGCUGUAGUAUUUUGCGGAAUGUACUAUAUAGCAAUAUACAGAGAAAGUUGUUUUGGCAUGUCAGAGCCUUAUUUGGUUAGCAGACUGCAUGUGUUGGUACUUUUUUUUUCUUAAAGCCAAUUAUUUUGAUGCAAAAGAAAUUCAGUUUAUAAGAUAAAUCUGAAAAAUCCAUAAUGAAAUAGGAGUUAUAAAAAAUUUAUAGUGAUAUUAAUCUUUACAUAUUUCCCAUUAAGCAACACUAAGCAUACAUGCGUUAAUCCACGGUAAAGAGUGUUUUUCUGAAACUUUUUUUAGUAAGAUGGUUUUCCAGCAAAUGGCAUUCCCAAGAUAAAGCUGUUGUGCUUUAACUCAUUUCUUUUCUUUGGUAUUGGGUUAUGUAUGUGUGUGUAUUUUUUUAACUUGAGAGCUGACUGUUGCUUAAGAAGUUUUCUAAUGGCAAAAAGAAUGUAAAUAACUUACUAUGAUCUGCAUUUUGCCAGAAACUCAUUUAUAAUUAAGGCUAUCAUUUAUUAAUGACUUUUUUUCUCCUUUAUAAUAUUACAUUAAAGUUGAUAAUUGUUAUUGGUACUUUUGAAAUAUUUGUAUGCAUUUGUUACCUUUAAACAUUUGGAAGAAGCACAAAAAAAUAGAUUUAGUUAACCCAGGAAACAUCAAUUUUUUUAGUAGUUCCAAUUUUAUAUCACAGUUUUAUUUUCUUAUGAAAUCAAAAAAUGCAUUGAUACUCAUUAAUGCAAAUUCAUUAUUUAACAUCAAUAUCAGAGUAAUCUUCAAGGUCUGAAAUGAGAAAGAUACUGACUUUUUAAAAUUUUAACAGUGUACUUCUUAGGCUUUCAUUACCAGCUCUAAAGAACUUUUUGGAAUAAUUCCAUAUUCCGUAGUGUGUGGUUUAUGAGUUGUGGGUUUCAUCACUAACCCAGUAACCAUGAGAAAAGUCUCUCUCCCUCUGUCUCUCUUUCUCUCUCUCUUUCGUAGGCCAGUAGCAAUGUUGUGUUCACAGUUUGCUUUCCAAAAGACCAUGAAUAAAAAAGAGAGCAUGUUUCAAUUGAAAUGGAACUUAAGAGAACUUGAACUUACUUACAUACUUCAAUGCCACUUAUAACUUAGGUUUUACCACCAAAUGCUGUUAACAUUAAAUCAUUUUGAAACUCUUGGAUGAAAGGUGCUAUGUAAAUGUAAAUACAAAGGAUUCUUACUAACAUACAAAUAAUGCACAACAGAAAUAUUUAAAACCUAUUCUGUAGUCUUUGAAACAUCUCUCUCUGUCAUAACUCCCUGGAUUCAAGUAGCACAUUGGUAAUAGGUGUCAGAGCAGUCUAGAGACACUUGCAUGUCAAAAAAUGUACAUUCAUUUUUAGGUGGAUAAAAGUAAACAUAGAAAUUAUGUUAUGGCUAAAUACAGUAAGUGGGUAACUUAGAUUUAUAUUAGCUAGCAUCUAAUUUGCACAACUAGAACAUAUCCCAGAACAAUUACUGAAAAGCUGAAAUUUAAUGAGUGGUGAGGUAGCCCAAUGAGGGCGAAUGACAUCACAGCUUGACCUCUCCAGAACACUAAUAUCUUAAAAUAGAGAAUAUGCUGCGUUAAGUGCAUUAGUGCUUCAAGCAGAAAAUGCUGAAAAACAGCCUGUAAAGUACUGAAUCUGAGUAGGCUGACCCUGAGAAGGGACAGUUAAAGAGACAACCAAGGGAACACAUUGAGACUACAAAAAUAUGAAUAAUCUCAAUUAUAUUCAUCACACUUUUUUCAUACCAUUUCAAGAAAGGACUAGAUAAGAGUAACCACAUGAAUAUUUUACUUUCUCCAGUAUACCUUGAGAAGCAAACUUUGUAGGAAGCCACUCUUCUCCCUUAAACUUCUGCCAAACAAUAAUAAAGUCAACUGGAAACUAAUUGGAGCCGUUUUAACUGGGGCCUGACAUGCUUUAAAUUAUCUGGCUCUAUUCUAAAUCAACACCUAAACCCCCAAGGAAACUGCAGAAUCAAUAUACAGGGUAAUAGCUUUGGUUCAGAGCUCCAAUAGUGUGCUUCAGAUCUGUCCAUGUGGAAACGCUUUUGUCCAAAUUUUUUAAUUGGUGGUUACCAAAGAGUUCACAAAACAGGUUUUUUUUGUUUUUGUUUUUUUGAGACGGAGUCUCGCUCUGUCGCCCAGGCUGGAGUGCAGUGGCCGGAUCUCAGCUCACUGCAAGCUCCGCCUCCCGGGUUUACGCCAUUCUCCUGCCUCAGCCUCCCGAGUAGCUGGGACUACAGGCGGCCGCCACCUCGCCCGGCUAGUUUUUUGUAUUUUUUAGUAGAGACGGGGUUUCACCGUGUUAGCCAGGAUGGUCUCGAUCUCCUGACCUCGUGAUCCGCCCGUCUCGGCCUCCCAAAGUGCUGGGAUUACAGGCUUGAGCCACCGCGCCCGGCCUCACAAAACAGGUUUGUAUGUAGCACCUUUCAUGCAAGGCAUGCUAAAAGCCUAUUUUAAAAUCACUGUGCAUAUUAUAGAAUUGUAGCCACCUCCCAAUGAAGUACUACAGCCUGUGCUGUCUUAAUGGUUUGUGUCAGGAAAUGAAAAAGAUACUGUACCAAAUCUGGAAUUACAAUGGGGAGUAAUAAUGUAUGCUAAAUGACUUUUGUAUUUUAAGUUACUUUUUGUGAGUGGUGAAUUUUGUGUUUUCUUUUCAGCUAUACUUAGUCCUGAGAUGUAUUUUUUCUUUAAGUCUUGAAUGAAUACAAAAGGAGCCCAUUUUAUAAUAUAAACCUUGAUGUACAUGUUGAGAUAUCUGGACAAUGAAAAUGCCUUAAAAGGAAUGCAUAUGGAUAAAGUUGCACUUAUAACACCCUUCAACAAAAUCUGAUUUUAAAUUGUCUUUUCUUUUCUAUUAAGGGUUUUCUUUUCAGUGUCUACCAUUGUACUUAUAACUGUUAUUAAAUACCAAAUCAAAUAAUAUAAAAGCUGUAACAUUUCCUUUAAAACUAAUGCUAAUAAGGGAUUUAGAAUUGAAUGGCAAAAUGUUUAUUACUUGGCAAUACCUGAUGUCAGUCACAGGCAUCCAACUCAUGACAAGAGAUACCACUGUUUGUUUUUUAAAAAACAUUUUUCAUUUUGGUACUCCUUCAAAAAUUAAGUUGGACUAACAUUCACAUAUCCAACUAAUAUAAAAGAAAUAAAACCAAGAGGUGAUUUUUGUAACAAAUGGUUAGUAAUCAUUUAAAAAUGAUAUCAUUUUAGCCAAGUGUUAUUUUAUUUCUUUCCGUUUUCCCUAGAGAACUAUUGUCAGACAUAACCGAUGACCUUGUUUAGUUGAUUCUGUCAUAACAUUUUAUGAUAAGUGUUAGGGGUUUGGAAAGAGCGUCUGUCAGUUUUGUCAGUCCCAAAAUAGGUUUAAAUGUGAUCUAAUAGAUUGCACAAAUGAAUCUCUCAUUUUCACUUAGACUUUAGGAGACAAAGCAACUGGCUUCAUCCUUGGGCAAGUCAGUUUUUCUGGGCCUGUUUUAACCAUAAAGUGGAGAGGGCAAUUAGACCAAACACCUAAGGUACUUAAUUUAUGUGUAUUCAUUAGUACCUUCAUUUCAUAUGCAGAGCAACCUAAAACAGC